CACCCAGGACGGUGGAUCACUCGGCUCGUGGGUCGAUGAAGAACGCAGCAAAUUGCGCGUCGACAUGUGAACAGCAGGACACAUGAACAUCGACAUUUCGAACGCACAUUGCGGUCCAUGGAUUCCGUUCCCGGGCCACGUCUGGCUGAGGGUCG
RNAcentral lists this ribosomal RNA (155 nucleotides) under Schistocerca americana (American grasshopper). Its description in RNAcentral is "5.8S ribosomal RNA". It matches the Rfam family "5.8S ribosomal RNA". From Rfam's summary of the family: 5.8S ribosomal RNA (5.8S rRNA) is a component of the large subunit of the eukaryotic ribosome. It is transcribed by RNA polymerase I as part of the 45S precursor that also contains 18S and 28S rRNA. Functionally, it is thought that 5.8S rRNA may be involved in ribosome translocation. Lineage: Eukaryota; Metazoa; Arthropoda; Insecta; Orthoptera; Acrididae. The record is from RNAcentral.